AUGUUUCCUUCCGCAUCACAUAUACUAAAAUUGAAAUGAUACAGAGAAGAUUAGCAUGGCUCUUAUGCAAGGAUGACCUGCAAAUUCUUGAAGUGUUCUACAUUUUA
Pteropus vampyrus (large flying fox) is the source of this 107-nucleotide small nuclear RNA. The record is from Ensembl. NCBI's taxonomy places the organism in Eukaryota, Metazoa, Chordata, Mammalia, Chiroptera, Pteropodidae.